Molecule: ribosomal RNA, 2246 nt
Filed under: Nocardia sp. BSTN01
Lineage: Bacteria; Bacillati; Actinomycetota; Actinomycetes; Mycobacteriales; Nocardiaceae
Description: partial 23S ribosomal RNA
Rfam family: Bacterial large subunit ribosomal RNA
Source: RNAcentral
UAGGGGUGAAAGGCCAAUCAAACUCCGUGAUAGCUGGUUCUCCCCGAAAUGCAUUUAGGUGCAGCGUCGCGUGUUUCACACUGGAGGUAGAGCUACUGGAUGGCCUAGGGGGCCCACAAGCUUACCGAAGUCAGCCAAACUCCGAAUGCCGGUGUGUGAGAGCGUGGCAGUGAGACUGCGGGGGAUAAGCUUCGUAGUCGAGAGGGAAACAGCCCAGAUCGCCGGCUAAGGCCCCUAAGCGUGUACUAAGUGGAAAAGGAUGUGGGGUCGCUGAGACAACCAGGAGGUUGGCUUAGAAGCAGCCACCCUUGAAAGAGUGCGUAAUAGCUCACUGGUCAAGUGAUCCUGCGCCGAUAAUGUAGCGGGGCUCAAGUACACCGCCGAAGCCGCGGCACUCAGACAUUUACAUCCCCAGCAAUGGGCAGUGGUCUGGGUGGGUAGGGGAGCGUCGUGUAGCCAGGGAAGCAGCGGGGUGACCUAGUUGUGGAGGCUGCGCGAGUGAGAAUGCAGGCAUGAGUAGCGAAAGACGAGUGAGAAACUCGUCCGCCGAAUGACCAAGGGUUCCUGGGCCAGGUUAAUCCGCCCAGGGUGAGUCGGGACCUAAGGCGAGGCCGACAGGCGUAGUCGAUGGACAACGGGUUGAUAUUCCCGUACCCGUGUAUCCGCGCCCAAUGGCGAAUCAGUUGUGCUAACCGUCCAAAAGCGGACCUAUCACCUUCGGGUGAAGAGAAGUGGCUGCACGGGACCCUGGCUGUAGUAGUCAAGCGAUGGGGUGACGCAGGAAGGUAGCUGGGCCCGGUGGUGGAUUACCGGGUGUAAGCCUGUAGGGCGUUGUGUAGGCAAAUCCGCACAACAUGUGCCUGAGAGGUGAUGCGUAGCCGGUUGAGGUGAAUUCAGUGAUCCUAUGCUGCCGAGAAAAGCCUCUAGUGAGUUGGUACACGGCCCGUACCCCAAACCGACACAGGUGGUCAGGUAGAGAAUACUGAGGCGAUCGAGAUAACUGUGGUGAAGGAACUCGGCAAAAUACCUCCGUAACUUCGGGAGAAGGAGGGCCUGAUCUGGUGAUGAGUCUUGCACUCGGAGCUGGGUUGGGUCGCAGAGACCAGAGAGAAGCGACUGUUUACUAAAAACACAGGUCCGUGCGAAGUCGUAAGACGAUGUAUACGGACUGACGCCUGCCCGGUGCCGGAAGGUUAAGAGGACCGGUUAGCGUUUCGGCGCGAAGCUGAGAAUUUAAGCCCCGGUAAACGGCGGUGGUAACUAUAACCAUCCUAAGGUAGCGAAAUUCCUUGUCGGGUAAGUUCCGACCUGCACGAAUGGCGUAACGACUUCUCUGCUGUCUCCACCACAGACUCGGCGAAAUUGCAUUACGAGUAAAGAUGCUCGUUACGCGCGGCAGGACGAAAAGACCCCGGGACCUUCACUAUAGCUUGGUAUUGGUGUUCGGUACGGUUUGUGUAGGAUAGGUGGGAGACUGUGAAGCGGGCACGCCAGUGUUCGUGGAGUCGUCGUUGAAAUACCACUCUGGUCGUAUUGGACCUCUAACCUCGGGCCAUGAUCUGGUUCAGGGACAGUGCCUGGUGGGUAGUUUAACUGGGGCGGUUGCCUCCCAAAAUGUAACGGAGGCGCCCAAAGGUUCCCUCAGCCUGGUUGGCAAUCAGGUGUUGAGUGUAAGUGCACAAGGGAGCUUGACUGUGAGACUGACAGGUCGAGCAGGGACGAAAGUCGGGACUAGUGAUCCGGCACCGGCAUGUGGAAGCGGUGUCGCUCAACGGAUAAAAGGUACCCCGGGGAUAACAGGCUGAUCUUCCCCAAGAGUCCAUAUCGACGGGAUGGUUUGGCACCUCGAUGUCGGCUCGUCGCAUCCUGGGGCUGGAGUAGGUCCCAAGGGUUGGGCUGUUCGCCCAUUAAAGCGGCACGCGAGCUGGGUUUAGAACGUCGUGAGACAGUUCGGUCUCUAUCCGCCGCGCGCGUUAGAAACUUGAGGAAGGCUGUCCCUAGUACGAGAGGACCGGGACGGACGAACCUCUGGUGUGCCAGUUGUCCCGCCAGGGGCACGGCUGGUUGGCCACGUUCGGAAGGGAUAACCGCUGAAAGCAUCUAAGCGGGAAGCCUGUUCCAAGAUGAGGUUUCUCACCCCCUCGAGGGGGUAAGGCCCCCAACAGACCAUUGGGUUGAUAGGCCAGAACUGGAAGUGCGGUAACGCAUGGAGGUGACUGGUACUAAUAGGCCGAGGGCUUACCAAC